This 270-nucleotide ribosomal RNA is filed under the name uncultured bacterium. Its description in RNAcentral is "partial 16S ribosomal RNA". It matches the Rfam family "Bacterial small subunit ribosomal RNA", at positions 722 to 990 of the family's 1533-position model. The record is from RNAcentral.
CGGGUCUCUGGGCCGUUACUGACGCUGAGGAGCGAAAGCGUGGGGAGCGAACAGGAUUAGAUACCCUGGUAGUCCACGCUGUAAACGUUGGGCACUAGGUGUGGGGGCCACCCGUGGUUUCUGCGCCGUAGCUAACGCUUUAAGUGCCCCGCCUGGGGAGUACGGCCGCAAGGCUAAAACUCAAAGGAAUUGACGGGGGCCCGCACAAGCGGCGGAGCAUGCGGAUUAAUUCGAUGCAACGCGAAGAACCUUACCAAGGCUUGACAUGUC